Molecule: ribosomal RNA, 336 nt
Filed under: uncultured bacterium
Lineage: Bacteria
Description: bacterial SSU rRNA
Rfam family: Bacterial small subunit ribosomal RNA
Source: RNAcentral
AAUCAACGCUGGCGGCGUGCCUCAGACAUGCAAGUCGAACGAGAAAGUCCCCUUCGGGGGGAUAAGUAAAGUGGCGCACGGGUGAGUAACACGUAGGUAAUCUACCUUCGGGUGGGGAAUAACCCAGGGAAACUUGGGCUAACACCGCAUAAUGCAGCGGCACCACAUGGUGACAGUUGUUAAAGCGGGGGAUUUUAGGACCUCGCGCCUGAAGAGGAGCCUGCGGCGGAUUAGCUAGUUGGUGAGGUAACGGCUCACCAAGGUAACGAUCCGUAGCCGGCCUGAGAGGGCGGUCGGCCACACUGACACUGACAUACGGGUCAGACUCCUACGGGA